This 74-nucleotide transfer RNA is filed under the name Candidatus Latescibacterota bacterium. Its description in RNAcentral is "tRNA-Ile". It matches the Rfam family "tRNA". From Rfam's summary of the family: Transfer RNA (tRNA) molecules are approximately 80 nucleotides in length. Lineage: Bacteria; Pseudomonadati; Candidatus Latescibacterota. The record is from RNAcentral.
GGGCCUAUAGCUCAGCUGGUUAGAGCGCACGCCUGAUAAGUGUGAGGUCCCUGGUUCGAUCCCAGGUAGGCCCA